UCGAAUAUGGUGUAACGGUUAACAUUGCCGCCUCUCAUCGAGAGUAUCGCGGUAGCUCGGGGUUCGAUUCCCCGUAUCCGAA
Molecule: transfer RNA, 82 nt
Filed under: Amylostereum chailletii
Lineage: Eukaryota; Fungi; Basidiomycota; Agaricomycetes; Russulales; Stereaceae
Description: tRNA-Glu
Rfam family: tRNA
About the family: Transfer RNA (tRNA) molecules are approximately 80 nucleotides in length. Their secondary structure includes four short double-helical elements and three loops (D, anti-codon, and T loops).
Source: RNAcentral